This is an RNA transcript of Cydia pomonella (codling moth), 2105 nucleotides long. RefSeq lists it as uncharacterized. The transcript is spliced from 7 exons. The record is from RefSeq and is a predicted model, not a curated record. NCBI's taxonomy places the organism in Eukaryota, Metazoa, Arthropoda, Insecta, Lepidoptera, Tortricidae.
UUGGCAACUCCUUUGUUGACAAGAAAUGUUUGACGAAAGAGUUCCCAAGUUGACAACAUACCGGACGGGAGCCAGAAAUAUCAACGUAACAUUAAUACGCACAUACGAGCGGCAACCAUUUUGAAAUAUAAAUCCAACUGCAUUGAUUCGUGUGUCAAAUAAUAACAAAUUUAUAACGUUGAAAUUUUCUUUUCCUUUAUAUUAUUGUGCGUGUCCGGACUGUUUUAAUAUAGUAAAAAUGGUUGGCAAAAGCCGAUAUUGUGAGAUAUGCGGCGUGAGAGAAAUUUUCAGAGAAGGCUUCUUUGCCAAAUUUCCCAAGGAUAAACUGCGGUAAGUCAACCAGUUCCUAAUUACAACUAGGGAAUAAAUCAAAUUACUUUAUUAAACAUUUUGAUUUGUUAGUCGCGUAAGCUGAAGGCGGUUCGAAUCCGCCACUCCGUAAUGCCGUAAGGGAUUCAUAUACUUAGGAGCAGCAAGCACGGACUGCUCGCCCUUAGAGUUGGUUAAAGACUUUUCAGUCGUAACUAAUUGUUUUUUGCUAUGUUUGCUACCAGUAAAUCUCUUCCAGUUGUUAUAAUGGAUAUAUAUAGUUUUAGGAAAUAAUAGGUUCCAAUAUCAUUAUCUCUUUAAACUCUAUUUUUGUUAGUACACUAUCUUUUAUUACUUACCUACUACAAAAGCUUUGAUGUAAUUCACUGUAAUUUUUGGUGGCUAUAUCUGAAGUACUUAUUGAACCCAUUUGGGUUCUAAUCAAUUUAAAAUACUAUCUUCGUCUUAUGUUUGUAAUAAUUGUACUACAUAUUAACUUCUUAUGCAUCUUUGUACCUCUCAAUAGUGUGUCAGUAUAUUAUUUGCUCACAGGUGUAAAACUUGGCUUAGACAAGUUGGAAAAGAAGAUCUCAUUCACGUACCCAUUGAAAAAUUGCAUGAGCUUCGUCAUGUUUGUGGUGACCACUUUGACCGGAGAGACUUUGGGAAGACAGGAAAUAAGCUUAAAAAAAGAGCCUAUCCAAAGUUAAAUCUUUCUGCACCUCCACUGUCAGAACAUCAAUUAACAGGAUUUCCUCAACAUGUUGCAAGUAGACAAGGUGCACACCAGAGCCAUGCACUUUUACAUGCCAGGAUACCUCUCUCGACAUCUAGCACUGAAAAUGGUGCACACCAGAGCCAUGCACCUUUACAUGCCAGGAUACCUCUCUCGACAUCGAGCACUGAAAAUGUUUUGGUACCAGCGAGACGCGGAUCUAGUGAUACUCUAGUUCUUACUCUAGCACCACCUAUAUUCUGUCAACUCCAUCUUGUGAGAGGGACGAGAUCGCGGCGACGACGUCGCGGAGCUCGUGCCCCUCAGUGUCCUGCAGGAGGACACUGGCUUCUAUGAGUACAUGUUUAAAAGUAAUUGCCUCAUUGGUGAAAAGCAAAUUAAAAACUUGCUAAAAAUAGCAAAGUUUAGUAAGAACAAAGACCUGAAGGAAACUUCGCAAGCUGAGAUUAGAGAGAAGUGUUUAAGAUUAUAUGGAAAGUAACUUUGGUACCAGCGAAACGCUCCCCGUCUUGCUGACAACCUGGAUCUAGUGAUACUCUAGUUCUUACUUCUGAUAAUCGAAAAACGAAGCAAGCAAAUCACAAGACUGAUGAUUACAAUACAACGAAGAAAGCAUUGCUGAAGAAGCUCAAGAAAGUGAAAACGAGUUUACUUUAUAAGUUUUUGCCUAAUAAGUAGGACUUUAACUAGACAAAUUGAUUUUUAUAAAUCCAUCUUUACAACAUGGUAUCUAUGCUUACCAUAGGGUGUACAGAUGAAGUAGGAUGAGUGAUUUAGUAAGCCUAAUAAAAAAGUAACCCAGAACUGCCAUAACUAAUUAAUUACUAAUUACUUAGAAGUUAGAAUACAGAUUCAGGAUCAUUUAUAUCUUGUUGAAAAUUAAUAUAUUUUAUAUCUGGGAGACCGAGUUUUGAUCGGAACAGUGUUGGCCGAAAGUUAAUUGCAAUUAACCAUUGUUGGCUCGGAAAACAUAAAAACAAAAAAAUAUGCACGUUUUCCCAGAGAUAAGACCUUGCUAGAACAAUUUUUCCCCUUGUUCCUCGUACAUAACCCAGUUACA